GUAAGGGACUGUAGGACGUGGGGCUGUGGAGAAAGAGUGUGGUCAAUCACCUUUAUUGGUCUGUGACCACAUCAACAUCUGGGGAGGAGGUAGUGGCCAAGUGGAGCUCUGUAGCAAACCAUAUUCAGAACAUCCACUGCCACGAAAACACCCUGUUUCCUUCCUGUCUUCACGAGCCUCUGGUUGGUGAUCAGACAAGACACUGGCUCAAACCAAGCACAGCAGCAUGUGAAAAAUUCACAGCAAUUUUGUUGUCACCACGUCUUCUUAAAGACAUGCUCAAAAUUAGUCCGGAAUACCACACCUCUGGAAUCGAGUGUUUCCACAGCCUCAUUCUGAAGUUCUCACCUAAAAAUGUGGUGUUCUCCUUCAAAGGAAUGUUGUGCAGACUACAGCUUGCUGCGAUGCAUUAUAAUGAAAAUGGAGGCAGAUCACAGGCAUCCACUGCAGCUGGUGAUCUGC
Pimephales promelas (fathead minnow) is the source of this 462-nucleotide non-coding RNA. The record is from RefSeq and is a predicted model, not a curated record. NCBI's taxonomy places the organism in Eukaryota, Metazoa, Chordata, Actinopteri, Cypriniformes, Leuciscidae.